This 254-nucleotide ribosomal RNA is filed under the name uncultured bacterium. RNAcentral describes it as "partial 16S ribosomal RNA". It matches the Rfam family "Bacterial small subunit ribosomal RNA", at positions 524 to 776 of the family's 1533-position model. The record is from RNAcentral.
UACGUAGGUGGCAAGCGUUGUCCGGAUUUACUGGGCGUAAAGCGCGUGUAGGCGGCCCGGCACGUCCGUCGCUGAAAUCCCCCGGCUCAACCGGGGAAGGGGCGCGGAUACGACCGGGCUGGAGGGGGGUAGGGGGAUCGGGAACUUCCGGUGGAGCGGUGAAAUGCGUAGAUAUCGGGAGGAACACCUGUGGCGAAAGCGGCGCACUGGACCACAACUGACGCUGAGGCGCGAAAGCUAGGGGAGCAAACAGG